GGUCGCUUAGCUCAGCGGUAGAGCGUCUCGUUGACAUCGAGAAGGUCACUGGUUCAAAUCCAGUAGCGACCACCA
RNAcentral lists this transfer RNA (75 nucleotides) under Candidatus Berkelbacteria bacterium. RNAcentral describes it as "tRNA-Val". It matches the Rfam family "tRNA". From Rfam's summary of the family: Transfer RNA (tRNA) molecules are approximately 80 nucleotides in length. Their secondary structure includes four short double-helical elements and three loops (D, anti-codon, and T loops). The record is from RNAcentral. Lineage: Bacteria; Candidatus Berkelbacteria.